Molecule: long non-coding RNA, 412 nt
Organism: Oncorhynchus keta (chum salmon)
Lineage: Eukaryota; Metazoa; Chordata; Actinopteri; Salmoniformes; Salmonidae
Exons: 3
Source: RefSeq, a predicted model, not a curated record
CACACACAGGUAGACACACACACACACUCACAGGUAGACACACACACUCACAGGUAGACACACACACUCACAGGUAGACACACACACUCACAGGUAGACACACACACACACUCACAGGUAGACACACACACACACACUCACAGGUAGACACACACACACUCACAGGUAGACACACACACACUCACAGGUAGACACACACACACUCUCACAGGUAGACACACACACACACUCACAGGUAGACACACACACACACUCACAGGUAGACACACACACACUCACAGGUAGACAGACACACCACACACAGACACACCACACACAGACACACCACACACAGACACACCACACACAGACAGACACAAACAAAUCUUCCCAUUGAAAUGAAAUACAUGUUGCGUAUGUUUUGUGAUUAAAA